Molecule: ribosomal RNA, 366 nt
Filed under: Proneomenia franziae
Lineage: Eukaryota; Metazoa; Mollusca; Solenogastres; Cavibelonia; Proneomeniidae
Description: partial large subunit ribosomal RNA
Rfam family: Bacterial large subunit ribosomal RNA
Source: RNAcentral
CAGUGGAUUAUUCUAAACGGCCGCAGAAUUUUAACUGUGCUAAGGUAGCAUAAUCAUUUGUUCUUUAAUUGAGGACUAGUAUGAAUGGUUUAACGAAAUUACACUAUUUUUUUUAUAUCUAAUAAAAUUUUAUCUUAAAGUCAAAAAGCUUUAAUAAAAUAAAAAGACAAAAAGACCCUGUAGAGUUUAAUUUCUCAUGUUAAAAAUAAUCUUUUAGAAAUUUUGUUGGGGCAACAUGGAAAAAAUAAAUUUUUCUUAACUUAAAAUCCUAUAUAAAAUCAUUAAUUUAAUAAAACAAAAUAAAUUACCUCGGGGAUAACAGCGUAAUUUUCUUUGAGAGCCCAAAUCGAAAAGAAAAAUUACGAC